This 253-nucleotide ribosomal RNA is filed under the name uncultured bacterium. Its description in RNAcentral is "partial 16S ribosomal RNA". It matches the Rfam family "Bacterial small subunit ribosomal RNA", at positions 524 to 776 of the family's 1533-position model. The record is from RNAcentral.
UACGGAGGGUGCAAGCGUUGUUCGGAAUUACUGGGCGUAAAGCGCGUGUAGGCGGUUUCUUAAGUCUGAUGUGAAAGCCCGGGGCUUACCCCCGGAAGUGCAUUGGAAACUGGGAGACUAGAGUACCGGAGGGGAGGGUGGAAUUCCUGGUGUAGCGGUGAAAUGCGUAGAUAUCAGGAGGAACACCGGUGGCGAAGGCGGCCCUCUGGACGGAUACUGACGCUGAGACGCGAAAGCGUGGGGAGCAAACAGG